Sander lucioperca (pikeperch) is the source of this 270-nucleotide long non-coding RNA. RefSeq lists it as uncharacterized. The record is from RefSeq and is a predicted model, not a curated record. The transcript has 3 exons. Lineage: Eukaryota; Metazoa; Chordata; Actinopteri; Perciformes; Percidae.
AACCCCCGCAGAGCCACCUGCUGCUGGGAGGCUACAAUGCUAUGUGGUGCCAGAAGUGAAGCCGUCUGAAAAAAAAAAAGGAGUGAGCUUUGGGCAUGCGUCUUGACUACUGCAUUUUGGUCACUCACUUUGUAUGUGAGAAACCAUGGAAUGGGAAUGGUAAAGCAGAUUAAUGGAGCUUUGAUAGCUUCAGAGUGCCCCUCCUCUGUGAGCACUUAAAGUCAAUAAAUCCGUUAUAAUUCCCAGUACAGAUAGCUGCCUACCUCUGCU